UACGGAGGGGGCUAGCGUUGUUCGGAAUUACUGGGCGUAAAGGGCGCGUAGGCGGCCUUCUAAGUCAGACGUGAAAUCCCCCGGCUUAACCUGGGAACUGCGUCUGAUACUGGAGGGCUUGAGUGCGGGAGAGGGAUGUGGAAUUCCAGGUGUAGCGGUGAAAUGCGUAGAUAUCUGGAGGAACACCGGUGGCGAAGGCGGCAUCCUGGACCGACACUGACGCUGAGGCGCGAAAGCUAGGGUAGCAAACGGG
This 253-nucleotide ribosomal RNA is filed under the name uncultured bacterium. Its description in RNAcentral is "partial 16S ribosomal RNA". It matches the Rfam family "Bacterial small subunit ribosomal RNA", at positions 524 to 776 of the family's 1533-position model. The record is from RNAcentral.